GACGAACGCUGGCGGCGUGCCUAAUACAUGCAAGUCGAGCGGACCAAAGGGAGCUUGCUCCUGGAGGUUAGCGGCGAACGGGUGAGUAACACGUGGGCAACCUGCCUGUAAGACUGGGAUAACAUCGAGAAAUCGGUGCUAAUACCGGAUAAUAAAAAGAACUGCAUGGUUCUUUUUUGAAAGAUGGUUUCGGCUAUCACUUACAGAUGGGCCCGCGGCGCAUUAGCUAGUUGGUGAGGUAACGGCUCACCAAGGCGACGAUGCGUAGCCGACCUGAGAGGGUGAUCGGCCACACUGGGACUGAGACACGGCCCAGACUCCUACGGGAGGCAGCAGUAGGGAAUCUUCCGCAAUGGACGAAAGUCUGACGGAGCAACGCCGCGUGAGUGAUGAAGGUUUUCGGAUCGUAAAACUCUGUUGUUAGGGAAGAACAAGUGCCGUUCGAAAGGGCGGCACCUUGACGGUACCUAACGAGAAAGCCACGGCUAACUACGUGCCAGCAGCCGCGGUAAAGUA
RNAcentral lists this ribosomal RNA (516 nucleotides) under uncultured bacterium. RNAcentral describes it as "bacterial SSU rRNA". It matches the Rfam family "Bacterial small subunit ribosomal RNA", at positions 28 to 527 of the family's 1533-position model. The record is from RNAcentral.